GACGAACGCUGGCGGCGUGCUUAACACAUGCAAGUCGAACGGAAAGGCCCUGCUUUUGUGGGGUGCUCGAGUGGCGAACGGGUGAGUAACACGUGAGUAACCUGCCCUUGACUUUGGGAUAACUUCAGGAAACUGGGGCUAAUACCGGAUAGGAGCUCCUGCUGCAUGGUGGGGGUUGGAAAGUUUCGGCGGUUGGGGAUGGACUCGCGGCUUAUCAGCUUGUUGGUGGGGUAGUGGCUUACCAAGGCUUUGACGGGUAGCCGGCCUGAGAGGGUGACCGGCCACAUUAGGACUAAGAUACGGCCCAGACUCCUACGGGAGGCAGCAGUAGGGAGUAUUGCACAAUGGGCGGAAGCCUGAUGCAGCAACACCGCGUGCGGGAUGACGGCCUUCGGGUUGUAAACCGCUUUCGCCUGUGACGAGGCGUGAGUGAAGGUAAUGAGUAAAGAAGCACCGGCUAACUACGUG
RNAcentral lists this ribosomal RNA (468 nucleotides) under uncultured bacterium. RNAcentral describes it as "partial 16S ribosomal RNA". It matches the Rfam family "Bacterial small subunit ribosomal RNA", at positions 28 to 507 of the family's 1533-position model. The record is from RNAcentral.